AUACGGAGGACGCGAGCGUUAUCCGGAUUCAUUGGGUUUAAAGGGUGCGCAGGCGGCCGUGCAAGUCAGCGGUGAAAGCCCGGGGCUCAACCCCGGAAGUGCCGUUGAUACUGCAUGGCUGGAAUGCGGUCGAGGCGGGCGGAACGGGGCGUGUAGCGGGGAAAAGCGUAGAUAUGCCACAGAACGCCGAUAGCGGAGGCAGCUCGCCAGGCCUGCAUUGACGCUCGGGCACGAAAGCGUGGGGAUCGAACAGGAUUAGAUACCCUGGUAGUCCACGCCGUAAACGAUGGGCGCUCGUCGUCGGCGGCAGACAGUCGGCGGCCAAGCGAAAGCGAUAAGCGCCCCACCUGGGGAGUACGGUCGCAAGGCUGAAACUCAAAUGAAUUGACGGGG
RNAcentral lists this ribosomal RNA (393 nucleotides) under uncultured bacterium. Its description in RNAcentral is "partial 16S ribosomal RNA". It matches the Rfam family "Bacterial small subunit ribosomal RNA", at positions 523 to 918 of the family's 1533-position model. The record is from RNAcentral.